AGAUACUUGUGUAACUCCGUGCGCCUUCAGUUCUUUAAGAUUUUUUUUGUUCCAUGUUGUUUGCCACGAAAAGUUGUGAAACAAAAUUUGUUUCCGGAAAAUGGAAAAUCGUUUUUCCGGCCGGAAAAGCCAUUCAUAUGAAAACCUUCAAAGUCGAAUAUAUCAUAAAAUACAAUGUUUUUUUUGAAAAAUUUCUUCUGUUCUGGAAAUCAUGGCUCAUUACCGAUAUUUCAUGGAAUAACUUUUUUUUUGAGGAGU
Molecule: long non-coding RNA, 258 nt
Organism: Bradysia coprophila
Lineage: Eukaryota; Metazoa; Arthropoda; Insecta; Diptera; Sciaridae
Source: RefSeq, a predicted model, not a curated record